Mastomys coucha (southern multimammate mouse) is the source of this 506-nucleotide long non-coding RNA. RefSeq lists it as uncharacterized. The transcript has 2 exons. The record is from RefSeq and is a predicted model, not a curated record. Lineage: Eukaryota; Metazoa; Chordata; Mammalia; Rodentia; Muridae.
ACAACAACAACAACAACAACAACAACAACAAAUGCAGAUUUUUAGAAAUGUAUGGAAAAUGGAGAAAAGAAGGAAGGAAGCAGGGAGAGACAGAAGGAAGAGAUCUUACAAGCUUUCAAGUCUAAGGUCUCAUUUGCAGUCUGGUGACCCUGAAUCUAUACCAAUGUGGUGACCAUACUGUGAACACAGAAAAUCUCUCUUUACACCCUGCAUGCUCUCUGCACUCCAUAAUUGGAAAAAGAUUCAGAGAACAAUAUGAACAUUUGCAAAAGAGGAAAUCUUCUCUCAUGAAUAUGUGGUGUGACUUCUCUUUAAAUUCAGCUGUCAUUCUUUUCUUCUAUAAAGAAAACCGUACUAUUAAUUCCAGCUGGUAACUCCUGACAAAUGCAAAGACAUUUUUAAUUUGGAACAGAGUGUGUUUGUGUGUUGUUGUUGUUGCUGCUUAAUAACACUAAGCUUUCUAACCUUUGCUUUGUCUUCCCACAAUAAAUAAUCACAAAGUACUC